This 255-nucleotide ribosomal RNA is filed under the name uncultured bacterium. RNAcentral describes it as "partial 16S ribosomal RNA". It matches the Rfam family "Bacterial small subunit ribosomal RNA", at positions 524 to 776 of the family's 1533-position model. The record is from RNAcentral.
UACGAAGGGUGCAAACGUUGCUCGGAAUCAUUGGGCGUAAAGCGCACGUAGGCGGCUUGCCAAGUCGGACGUGAAAUCCCUCAGCUCAACUGAGGACGUGCAUCCGAAACUGGCGAGCUUGAGUACUGAAGAGGAUCGCGGAAUUCCCGGUGUAGAGGUGAAAUUCGUAGAUAUCGGGGAGGAACACCAGGUGGCGAAGGCGGCGAUCUGGGCAGAUACUGACGCUGAGGUGCGAAAGCGUGGGGAGCAAACAGG